RNAcentral lists this unclassified non-coding RNA (217 nucleotides) under uncultured Tomentella. RNAcentral's name for it is "sequence contains ITS2". Lineage: Eukaryota; Fungi; Basidiomycota; Agaricomycetes; Thelephorales; Thelephoraceae. The record is from RNAcentral.
CCAUCUCAACUCUCAUGGCUUGCCAUGAUGAGCUUGGACUUUGGGGGUCUUGCUGGCCUGUGGUCGGCUCCUCUCGAAUGAAUUAGCCUGCCGAUGUUUGGUGGGAUCACAGGUGUGAUAACUAUCUACGCUUGUGCUUUUCCACCAGGUAACCCUCAGCAAUGGAGGUUCACCGGAGCUUAUAAAUGUCUCUCCCCAGCGAGGACAGAUUUUGACC